GACGAACGCUGGCGGCGUGCUUAACACAUGCAAGUCGAACGGAAAGGCCCUGCUUUUGUGGGGUGCCCGAGUGGGGAAAGGGUGAGUAACACGCGUGUAACCUGCCCUUGACUUUGGGGUAACUUCAGGAAACUGGGGCUAAUAUCGGAUAGGAGCUCCCGCAGCAUGGUGGGGGUUGGAAAGUUUCGGCGGUUGGGGAUGGACUCGCGGCUUAUCAGCUUGUUGGUGGGGUAGUUGCUUACCAAGGCUUUGACGGGUAGCCGGCCUGAGAGGGUGGCCGGCCACAUUGGUACUAAGAGACGGACCAGUCGCGUACGGGAGGCAGCGGUGGGAAAUAUUACACAGUGAGCGGAAGCGUGAUGCAGCAGCGCCGCGUGCGGAAUGACGGCCUUCGGGUUAUGAACCGCUUUCGCCUGUGACGAAGCGUGAGUGACGGUAAUGAAUAAAGAAGCACCGGCUAACUACGUG
Molecule: ribosomal RNA, 468 nt
Filed under: uncultured bacterium
Lineage: Bacteria
Description: partial 16S ribosomal RNA
Rfam family: Bacterial small subunit ribosomal RNA
Source: RNAcentral